Molecule: long non-coding RNA, 674 nt
Organism: Eptesicus fuscus (big brown bat)
Lineage: Eukaryota; Metazoa; Chordata; Mammalia; Chiroptera; Vespertilionidae
Exons: 4
Source: RefSeq, a predicted model, not a curated record
CAGCCGCCGCUUCCAAUUGGAGUGCCGUGCGUAACCUGGUCAGCCUAUGGAACUCGGUGCUGAAGCAGAAGGCGGGCCUCUCAGAAAUAGGAAGUAUUCGCAAGUCUCAGUAUUGUGCCAGGCAAAGGGCUCGUAGCCUCUGGAAAAAGGGAAGCACGAGCCGUGAACAGAGUCACGGCGCGGAGGAAUGAGCUUGCUAAGCCAUGUUUCCACCAAAAAUAUAGCAUUAAAAAGCAGCUCUGGCCGAAAGUAUGGAGUUUCUGGAAUUCAGUAAAUCCUGGUGAAAUAGUAAGACCCUUGGAUUCACAUAAAGACUCUUCCAUCCUCACUACAGAAGAUGAAGGGCCUGGCCAAAUCAACAGGAAAAUGCAGCUCUAAGAGAUCAUAUUACCAGAGGAACCCUGCCGACUUCUCCCCACUCAUCCCUCCCCACGAGAUCAGAGUUUCUACCCUGCUCUGACUGACAGAAUAUGCAGGGCGUCUGGAGCCUGCGCAUCUCAGUUCAGACGAGCCACGUUUCAACAGCCACGUGUGCUUUGUGGCUACCAAGCCCGACAACAGAGGCAUAGAAGAUUCUGACAUUCUGGCUUUACUUGGAAACAUCAAAGGAUUUUGUACAAUUGUACCUGGGGUGUGUGAGAGGGUGGGGUGUUUUGGUUUUCUUUCCUUUUAAG